GCUUAACACAUGCAAGUCGAGGGGCAGCAUGGUCUUAGCUUGCUAAGGCCGAUGGCGACCGGCGCACGGGUGAGUAACACGUAUCCAACCUGCCGUCUACUCUUGGACAGCCUUCUGAAAGGAAGAUUAAUACAAGAUGGCAUCAUGAGUCCGCAUGUUCACAUGAUUAAAGGUAUUCCGGUAGACGAUGGGGAUGCGUUCCAUUAGAUAGUAGGCGGGGUAACGGCCCACCUAGUCUUCGAUGGAUAGGGGUUCUGAGAGGAAGGUCCCCCACAUUGGAACUGAGACACGGUCCAAACUCCUACGGGAGGCAGCAGUGAGGAAUAUUGGUCAAUGGGCGAGAGCCUGAACCAGCCAAGUAGCGUGAAGGAUGACUGCCCUAUGGGUUGUAAACUUCUUUUAUAAAGGAAUAAAGUCGGGUAUGCAUACCCGUUUGCAUGUACUUUAUGAAUAAGGAUCGGCUAACUCCGUGCCAGCAGCCGCGGUAAUACGGAGGAUCCGAGCGUUAUCCGGAUUUAUUGGGUUUAAAGGGAGCGUAGAUGGAUGUUUAAGUCAGUUGUGAAAGUUUGCGGCUCAACCGUAAAAUUGCAGUUGAUACUGGAUAUCUUGAGUGCAGUUGAGGCAGGCGGAAUUCGUGGUGUAGCGGUGAAAUGCUUAGAUAUCACGAAGAACUCCGAUUGCGAAGGCAGCCUGCUAAGCUGCAACUGACAUUGAGGCUCGAAAGUGUGGGUAUCAAACAGGAUUAGAUACCCUGGUAGUCCACACGGUAAACGAUGAAUACUCGCUGUUUGCGAUAUACAGCAAGCGGCCAAGCGAAAGCGUUAAGUAUUCCACCUGGGGAGUACGCCGGCAACGGUGAAACUCAAAGGAAUUGACGGGGGCCCGCACAAGCGGAGGAACACGUGGUUUAAUUCGAUGAUACGCGAGGAACCUUACCCGGGCUUAAAUUGCAGAUGAAUUACGGUGAAAGCCGUAAGCCGCAAGGCAUCUGUGAAGGUGCUGCAUGGUUGUCGUCAGCUCGUGCCGUGAGGUGUCGGCUUAAGUGCCAUAACGAGCGCAACCCUUGUUGUCAGUUACUAACAGGUUCCGCUGAGGACUCUGACAAGACUGCCAUCGUAAGAUGUGAGGAAGGUGGGGAUGACGUCAAAUCAGCACGGCCCUUACGUCCGGGGCUACACACGUGUUACAAUGGGGGGGUACAGAGGGCCGCUACCACGCGAGUGGAUGCCAAUCCCAAAAACCUCUCUCAGUUCGGACUGGAGUCUGCAACCCGACUCCACGAAGCUGGAUUCGCUAGUAAUCGCGCAUCAGCCACGGCGCGGUGAAUACGUUCCCGGGCCUUGUACACACCGCCCGUCAAGCCAUGGGAGCCGGGGGUACCUGAAGUGCGUAACCGCGAGGAGCGCCCUAGGGUAAAACUGGUGACUGGGGCUAAGU
RNAcentral lists this ribosomal RNA (1437 nucleotides) under uncultured organism. Its description in RNAcentral is "16S ribosomal RNA". It matches the Rfam family "Bacterial small subunit ribosomal RNA". The record is from RNAcentral.